RNAcentral lists this ribosomal RNA (93 nucleotides) under Anaerolineae bacterium. Lineage: Bacteria; Bacillati; Chloroflexota; Anaerolineae. The record is from RNAcentral.
ACACCCGGACCCAUUCCGAACCCGGAAGUUAAGCUCACGAGCGCGGAUGGUACUGCUUUGGUAACGAAGUGGGAGAGUACGCCGCUGCCAACC